RNAcentral lists this ribosomal RNA (274 nucleotides) under uncultured bacterium. RNAcentral describes it as "partial 16S ribosomal RNA". It matches the Rfam family "Bacterial small subunit ribosomal RNA", at positions 523 to 796 of the family's 1533-position model. The record is from RNAcentral.
AUACGGAAGGCGCGAACGUUGUUCGGAAUCACUGGGCAUCAAGAGCUCGUAGGCGGUUUGUCAAGUCAGUGGUGAAAUCCCUCGGCUCAACCGAGGAAUUGCCAUUGAAACUGGCCGACUCGAGGGCAGGAGGGGAGAGCGGAAUUCCUGGUGGAGCGGUGAAAUGCGUAGAUAUCAGGAGGAACGCCGGCGGCGAAAGCGGCUCUCUGGCCUGUUCCUGACGCUGAGGAGCGAAAGCUAGGGUAGCAAACAGGAUUAGAAACCCCAGUAGUCC